UCUUGUAGCUUUUGAGGGCAGAGAAUUUUGAGUUUAAUAAUAUUUCAAUUUUCAAAUCUCUUUGUGAGUAUUUGAACAGUUAAUUCUCGGUAUUCUGCGGAAUCAACGAGUCUUAACCCCUAAAUUCGCGGUAUUCUUUUGAAUCAACGUGAAUUUAAUUGUUCUUUUGUUCCGGUAUUCUCUAGAAUCAACGGAAUAUUUUGAACAUUAAACUCCC
RNAcentral lists this long non-coding RNA (217 nucleotides) under Citrus sinensis (sweet orange). Its description in RNAcentral is "long non-coding RNA (CSIN_LNC005511)". Lineage: Eukaryota; Viridiplantae; Streptophyta; Magnoliopsida; Sapindales; Rutaceae. The record is from RNAcentral.